Molecule: ribosomal RNA, 496 nt
Filed under: uncultured bacterium
Lineage: Bacteria
Description: partial 16S ribosomal RNA
Rfam family: Bacterial small subunit ribosomal RNA
Source: RNAcentral
GAUGAACGCUGGCGGCGUGCCUAAUACAUGCAAGUCGAGCGAACGGACGAGAAGCUUGCUUCUCUGAUGUUAGCGGCGGACGGGUGAGUAACACGUGGAUAACCUACCUAUAAGACUGGGAUAACUUCGGGAAACCGGAGCUAAUACCGGAUGAUAUUUUGAACCGCAUGGUUCAAAAGUGAAAGACGGUCUUGCUGUCACUUAUAGAUGGAUCCGCGCUGCAUUAGCUAGUUGGUAAGGUAACGGCUUACCAAGGCAACGAUGCAUAGCCGACCUGAGAGGGUGAUCGGCCACACUGGAACUGAGACACGGUCCAGACUCCUCGGGAGGCAGCAGUAGGGAAUCUUCCGCAAUGGGCGAAAGCCUGACGGAGCAACGCCGCGUGAGUGAUGAAGGUCUUCGGAUCGUAAAACUCUGUUAUUAGGGAAGAACAUAUGUGUAAGUAACUGUGCACAUCUUGACGGUACCUAAUCAGAAAGCCACGGCUAACUACGUG